This 119-nucleotide ribosomal RNA is filed under the name uncultured bacterium. RNAcentral's name for it is "partial 16S ribosomal RNA". It matches the Rfam family "Bacterial small subunit ribosomal RNA", at positions 1382 to 1500 of the family's 1533-position model. The record is from RNAcentral.
CGUACACACCGCCCGUCACACCAUGGGAGCCGACAACGCCCGAAGUCAGUGACCUAACCGAGAGGGAGGAGCUGCCGAAGGCGGGGUUGGUAACUGGGGUGAAGUCGUAACAAGGUAAC